This 252-nucleotide ribosomal RNA is filed under the name uncultured bacterium. RNAcentral describes it as "partial 16S ribosomal RNA". It matches the Rfam family "Bacterial small subunit ribosomal RNA", at positions 525 to 776 of the family's 1533-position model. The record is from RNAcentral.
ACGGAGGAUCCAAGCGUUAUCCGGAAUCAUUGGGUUUAAAGGGUCCGUAGGCGGGUUUGUAAGUCAGUGGUGAAAGUCUGCAGCUCAACUGUAGAACUGCCAUUGAUACUGCAUACCUUGAGUAAUUAUGAAGUGGUUAGAAUAUGUAGUGUAGCGGUGAAAUGCAUAGAUAUUACAUAGAAUACCGAUUGCGAAGGCAGAUCACUAAUAAUUUACUGACGCUGAUGGACGAAAGCGUAGGUAGCGAACAGG